Molecule: long non-coding RNA, 2427 nt
Filed under: Lupinus angustifolius (narrow-leaved blue lupine)
Lineage: Eukaryota; Viridiplantae; Streptophyta; Magnoliopsida; Fabales; Fabaceae
Description: long non-coding RNA (LANG_LNC003104)
Source: RNAcentral
ACAGAUAUAUAUGUUGCCAAAAUACAAUGUUCAAUUCGAUCACGACACCAAAAUAGAAUUAACCAUCCAAAAACAAAUACAAUUGUUCAUGGACUUUACACAAUUGUCCAAAUGAAAAAACAAAAAAGAAAUUAACAACAAUUGUUCAUUUAAAGAAAUCAUCCCUUAUUAGCCUAAGAGAAUUAAGAAAUUCCACAUAGUCCAGGUCAUCGUCCCAUGUAGCCGUUUAGACUAGCUGCAAAAACAAAAAUAAAAAAUUAGACAUAGAAAUAUAACAAUCAAAUCCAGUAAAUUAAGCAAAAUUGGCUUCACUUUCGUACUUCUUGAACACAUUCUUUUGUAGGAAUAUCAUUUUUUCAACAAAACUUCUCUUUCUCUUUAUGUUUCCCAUCUUCAGUUUCUUUUCAGUUUCUUUGUUUUUUCCUCCUAUCUUCUUCUUUUGGGGUGUCAUGACUAAUUAUAAAAAGAGACAAUGACUAAUUAGACAAAUACAAAUACAAAUAGAGAGAAAAGAAAAAGAGUACUUACUAAAACAAAACAACACUUGAAAAAAUGAAUGAAAAUAGAAUCAUUUGUGUGAACCACAACAUAUAUAGAUUCAAAUGGAAAGUGAAUCGCUACCAUUGCCCUUGGCAGAUGUACAAACAAACAAGGAGAAGAAUAACUCCACCAUUAAUUUUUCGGAUAUGUAAAUGUCGUAUCUAAGCAAGAGCACUCAUAUAAGAAAGUGUUGUUAUUAUAUCAUAUUCAACAACGCUUCUUUAAUAAAGCAUUGUGGAAUAUAUAUGUAAAUUAACAGCGCCACCUUAAAGGUGUGUUGUUAAAUAGAACUCAUUCAAGUCAAUGCUAACAUCACUGAUAUUCAACAGCGCUUUUUCAGGCCUGCGCUGUUGAAGUUAUAUCCUCCUAUCCAAUGAGAAUGAGAAACAAGUAGAAGAAAGUGGGAAUUAAUAUAAUUAAGGAAAUUGAAAAACUAAAUAUAUUAGUUGUGAAUGUUUAUUUUUUUAUUUUUUGAUGAAUUGGAUAUCCAUCUAAAUGUAUAUUAAUUAAAUAUAACUUUAUAUAUAUUAACUUUAAUGGAUUUAAUUUUCUAAGAUUUAAAUAGAUUGUGAAUAAUUUUGUCAAAUCUAAUUUUCUUUUUACCCACUUCUCUAUCCCAAUAAAAAUGUAUCAUCGUGCUAUCUUUUUAUGCUUUAUAAAAUUAAUAUGAUAAAGUAUUACAAAGUCUUAGAAAUAUGAAUAAAUAAACAUGUAGAAAAAAAAUUUCAUUAUUAACUAUUUAACUUACUAAUAGUAACUUAAUCUUCUUUUAGUAUAAGAAGAAAAGAUAAUUAUCAAUAUCUUAUUAGUCGGUUCUAAAAAAAAUGUAAAUCAUACCUUAUUUUGAUAUGAUGAUAAUUAUAAGUAAUUGAAUAUGUCAAAACUUUAAAAUAUUGAUCUAAAUUAAUUCAAUCAUAUAUUUUGUUUGUUGUUUAUAAUAUCGUCAAAAAAUAAUAUUUAUAUUAAUCAAAUUAUUAUAUUUACUAUAAUACAUAUAACUUAACGGCUAUUAAUAGUGAAUCCUAAUUAACCAUUGUAUUACUCUAAUGAGUAAUAACACCUGAAAACAUAUUCACCUCACGGUUGAAUUUGUGCUUACCCAAUUCUGAACCCGAACUUGAAUUAAGUAGGGUUAAAAUUCAUAAUAUCAUCUCCAAACCCGUCAAAUUUCGGGUAACCCGAACACGAUGGGAACCAAAAAAAACAAAUACAUACAUCUAUUUUUUUUCAAUCAGAACAAAAAUUAAAGUAGCCAAGGGGUCCAAAAUGCUGCGAUUGUGAAUGAUGUUACCUGAUUGUGAGAUUGAAAGCUGAAAACAAACAUAAAAGCAACACUUAUAAUAUGAAGAAUGUGAUGUGGAAUGCAUUUCUAGAUGGGAAUAGAGGGGUUUGGGUUGGUGGUAGAAUUAGAAGAUGGGAAUAGAGGGGAUCUAUGGGGAGUGAGAAGCCUAACUAAAUAUUAUGUAAGUGUGAAACUGUGAAUGAAUGAAUAUGGAAUAUGAAAAUGAAUGAAUAGUAUUACCAAUCAUAGUCAUGCUUGCCUCCUCCUGGAUCUUGAAGUAGAUCAUGUUGGUGGAUGGGAAUGAUAUUAUUAGUAAUGGAUGAUGAUGAUGGAAGUACAUGAGAGAAGAGAUGAAGCUCAUGAGAAUUAACUGUUGGAGAAUAUCUCCAUCCUAAAUCCAUAGAUUAAACACAGAAGACAUUAUGACCAUGGCUUUAUUCCCAUAACCUAAUGUUUAUGCCCAUACAUAAACCCGAAUGGAACAACCAUGGUCCAGACCGAAGAAACCCCAAAUGAGUUCAUGGUGAAGAUGAAGAACAUACAUUGUUGAGCCAUUUCCUGAAUCUCGAAGGUAUGAGGGUGAGAUGAUCUUCCAGAUGAUAGAG